AUGCCUACCAGACCGUCAAGCUGAAACAUCAGUCACGUGACCAUGUAGUGGCGCGCUGUUGCUCGAGUGCUGUCAUGUGACAAUUUUGUGGUCCGCUUCCCAUCUGUGCGAUUUUCAGAUGCGAUGCGUUGCCAUGCGGGAAAAUUGCACCUAGUGGACAUGCACCUUCAGGUGUCAAACUGUGUUUAUAAGGGAGCACGUCUGUCAACGGGAUGCAUCUCUGCCAAAAAAAUUACAAUCUUUUGAAGCGCAAUAAUUCACUUCAAGCCAUUAUGGAGCCAGAAAGAAAAAGAAAGGUUUCUGCUGUGUGGGACCAUUUUGAUCAUAUAUCGGCAAACAAGGUAUCUGUUUUCAUUCCCUUGUUGUUCCAUCCUGUUCCUCUCAGUUUAAACGUGAUCUGUUAGAAGUCAAAUACACUUCAAAGUGACUCUUACUUUACUUACUAAAUUAUUCAUUUUAUUUUCUGCAGGUUAAAUGUCGUAUUUUUUCGACAGAACUGUCCUACAUCAAUAAAAGCACCUCGACAAUGCUGAGGAAUUAUAGAGCGAAGCAUGAAAAUGAGGUCACAAAUACACCAAGAAUAAACACAGCUUCCAGGAAGCAUGCGUUGGACCACGCAGUUCUGAAUUUCAUUCUAAAGGACUGCCAUCCCCUCAGCAUUGUUGAGAGUGAGGGGUUCAGGGAACUGGUUCGGGUCCUUGAUCCAUCGUACGUUUUGCCAACCAGGAAGACUGUCAAAGAAAUGGUGGUCAAAAAAUAUGAGGAGGAACAAGAACGAGUGAAAAUGGAAGUGCGUCAAGCUGUGGCAGUGAGUAUAACAACUGACAUGUGGACAUCUAUGAACAUGGAGACAUACUUGGCUCUUACCUGUCACUACAUUAAUGAAAACAUGCAGUUGUGUACAUCUGUGUUGAGAGUGCAACACUUUCCACAAAGUCACACUGCUGACAAUUUGGCCCGAGUCAAAAGGGGCAUGACUGAUGACUGGGCCAUAACUAAGACAAGUAAAGUGUCUUGUGACUGAUGCAGCACCAAACGUAAUGUCAUCAUCCCACAAGAAGUCUCCAAAUUCAGCAUUCAGUUUGUAUUGCACACACUCUGAAUUUAAUAGUAAAAAAGCAUGGGAUGAAAUCCCUUCACUUACAUCAAUCAGUCACAAAUCCAGGCAAAUUGUAGCAUACUUCAGAUCAGCCAACACAGUCAAAGAGAAGCUUGCCCAAGUGCAGCAACAUGGGACGGCCAACCCAGAAACUCACCAAUGAGGUGCCAACACGCUGGAACAGCACAUAUCAAAUUCUGGCAAGGCUACAUGAUGAGAAGGAACCAAUGUGGGUACCUCUUGACUCACUAAAAACAGACAUAACUCCACUUACGGCUGAUGAGUUCACUGUCGUAGGUGAAACACUUCUUGUGCUUGCUCCUUUCCAUCAAACUACAGUGAAUUUGUCUGAAGAGAAGAGAGUUUUAGGGUCAAAGGUCAUUCCCAUGAUGAAAAUGCCGUAUCUUGCACUUGAGAGUAAUGCUUCAAAUUUGCACACACAGGCAGCAAUACACCGCCACAAACACCUUUCACUUCUA
This is a long non-coding RNA of Acanthochromis polyacanthus (spiny chromis), 1578 nucleotides long. RefSeq lists it as uncharacterized. The record is from RefSeq and is a predicted model, not a curated record. The transcript has 3 exons. NCBI's taxonomy places the organism in Eukaryota, Metazoa, Chordata, Actinopteri, Pomacentridae.